AGAGUUUGAUCCUGGCUCAGGAUGAACGCUAGCGGCAGGCUUAACACAUGCAAGUCGAGGGGCAUCGGGAGGGAAGCUUGCUUUCCUUGCCGGCGACCGGCGCACGGGUGAGUAACACGUAUGCAACCUGCCCUCUUCAGGGGGACAACCUUCCGAAAGGGAGGCUAAUCCCGCGUAUAUCGGUUUCGGGCAUCCGAGAUCGAGGAAAGAUUCAUCGGAAGAGGAUGGGCAUGCGGCGCAUUAGCUAGACGGCGGGGUAACGGCCCACCGUGGCGACGAUGCGUAGGGGUUCUGAGAGGAAGGUCCCCCACACUGGUACUGAGACACGGACCAGACUCCUACGGGAGGCAGCAGUGAGGAAUAUUGGUCAAUGGGAGAGAUCCUGAACCAGCCAAGCCGCGUGAGGGAAGACGGCCCUAUGGGUUGUAAACCUCUUUUGUCGGAGAACAAAACCCGGGACGAGUCCCGGACUGCGUGUAUCCGAAGAAAAAGCAUCGGCUAACUCCGUGCCAGCAGCCGCGGUAAUACGGAGGAUGCGAGCGUUAUCCGGAUUUAUUGGGUUUAAAGGGUGCGUAGGCGGUCCGUUAAGUCAGCGGUAAAAUUGCGGGGCUCAACCCCGUCGAGCCGUUGAAACUGGCAGACUUGAGUUGGCGAGAAGUACGCGGAAUGCGCGGUGUAGCGGUGAAAUGCAUAGAUAUCGCGCAGAACUCCGAUUGCGAAGGCAGCGUACCGGCGCCAGACUGACGCUGAGGCACGAAAGCGUGGGGAUCGAACAGGAUUAGAUACCCUGGUAGUCCACGCAGUAAACGAUGAAUGCUGGUUGUCCGGGUCGAAUGAGAUCUGGGCGGCGAAGCGAAAGCGAUAAGCAUUCCACCUGGGGAGUACGCCGGCAACGGUGAAACUCAAAGGAAUUGACGGGGGCCCGCACAAGCGGAGGAACAUGUGGUUUAAUUCGAUGAUACGCGAGGAACCUUACCCGGGCUCAAACGGGAGUGGAAUGGACCAGAGACGGUUCAGCCUACGGGCCGCUUCCGAGGUGCUGCAUGGUUGUCGUCAGCUCGUGCCGUGAGGUGUCGGCUUAAGUGCCAUAACGAGCGCAACCCCCGCCGGCAGUUGCUAACGGGCAAUGCCGAGGACUCUGCCGGGACUGCCGCCGCAAGGCGAGAGGAAGGCGGGGAUGACGUCAAAUCAGCACGGCCCUUACGUCCGGGGCGACACACGUGUUACAAUGGGCGGUACAGCGGGAAGCCAGGCGGCGACGCCGAGCGGAACCCGAAAGCCGUUCUCAGUUCGGAUCGGAGUCUGCAACCCGACUCCGUGAAGCUGGAUUCGCUAGUAAUCGCGCAUCAGCCAUGGCGCGGUGAAUACGUUCCCGGGCCUUGCACACACCGCCCGUCA
This 1398-nucleotide ribosomal RNA is filed under the name uncultured bacterium. RNAcentral's name for it is "16S ribosomal RNA". It matches the Rfam family "Bacterial small subunit ribosomal RNA". The record is from RNAcentral.